RNAcentral lists this ribosomal RNA (481 nucleotides) under uncultured eukaryote. RNAcentral describes it as "bacterial SSU rRNA". It matches the Rfam family "Eukaryotic small subunit ribosomal RNA", at positions 393 to 878 of the family's 1831-position model. The record is from RNAcentral.
UGGUUUGGAUCCCCUCCCAUCUAAGGAAGCAGCAGGCACGCAAAUUACCCAAUCUCGAAGAUGGAGGUAGUGACGAAAAAUAACAAUACAAGACUCAUCCGAGGCCUUGUAAUUGGAAUGAGUAUACUUUAAAACCGUUCCCGAGGAUCUAUUGGAGGGCAAGUCUGGUGCGAGCAGCCGCGGUAAUUCCAGCUCCAAUAGCGUAUCUUAAAGUUGUUGUGGUUAAAAAGCUCGUAGUUGGAUUUCGGCAGGCACAGGUUGGUUUGAAUCGCUUCAACACUGACUUUUUUGCCUGUGUGUUUUGCCGGAGUUUGACAGGGGAUCUUAAUCGAUUGUCCGUUGGAGCUGGCAGGUUUACUUUGAAAAAAUUAGAGUGCUCAAAGAAAGCUUGAUUACUUGAAUAUUCGUGCCUGGAAUAAUAGAAUAGGAAGUCGUUUCUAUUUUGUUGGCUUUCGCAGAUUGACUUAAUGCUUGGAAGGGA